AGUGAACGCUGGCGGUAGGCCUAACACAUGCAAGUCGAACGGCAGCACAGUAAGAGCUUGCUCUUACGGGUGGCGAGUGGCGGACGGGUGAGGAAUACAUCGGAAUCUACUUUUUCGUGGGGGAUAACGUAGGGAAACUUACGCUAAUACCGCAUACGACCUACGGGUGAAAGCAGGGGAUCUUCGGACCUUGCGCGAUUGAAUGAGCCGAUGUCGGAUUAGCUAGUUGGCGGGGUAAAGGCCCACCAAGGGGACGAUCCGUAGCUGGUCUGAGAGGAUGAUCAGCCACACUGGAACUGAGACACGGUCCAGACUCCUACGGGAGGCAGCAGUGGGGAAUAUUGGACAAAGGGCGCAAGCCUGAUCCAGCCAUACCGCGUGGGUGAAGAAGGCCUUCGGGUUGUAAAGCCCUUUUGUUGGGAAAGAAAAGCAGCAGGUUAAUACCCCGCUGUUCUGACGGUACCCAAAGAAUAAGCACCGCCUAACUUCGU
This 491-nucleotide ribosomal RNA is filed under the name uncultured bacterium. RNAcentral's name for it is "partial 16S ribosomal RNA". It matches the Rfam family "Bacterial small subunit ribosomal RNA", at positions 29 to 506 of the family's 1533-position model. The record is from RNAcentral.